Molecule: transfer RNA, 76 nt
Filed under: Rhodocyclaceae bacterium
Lineage: Bacteria; Pseudomonadati; Pseudomonadota; Betaproteobacteria; Rhodocyclales; Rhodocyclaceae
Description: tRNA-Arg
Rfam family: tRNA
About the family: Transfer RNA (tRNA) molecules are approximately 80 nucleotides in length.
Source: RNAcentral
GUCCCGUUGGUGAAACGGAUAAUCACUAUGGCCUACGAAGCCGUCGUUCCAGGUUCGAAUCCUGGGCGGGACACCA